RNAcentral lists this ribosomal RNA (250 nucleotides) under uncultured bacterium. Its description in RNAcentral is "partial 16S ribosomal RNA". It matches the Rfam family "Bacterial small subunit ribosomal RNA", at positions 199 to 441 of the family's 1533-position model. The record is from RNAcentral.
UUUAAAAGGCNGGCGUAAGCUGUCGCUAUGGGAUGGCCCCGCGGUGCAUUAGCUAGUUGGUAAGGUAAAGGCUUACCAAGGCGAUGAUGCAUAGCCGAGUUGANGAGACUGAUCGGCCACAUUGGGACUGAGACACGGCCCAAACUCCUACGGGAGGCAGCAGUAGGGAAUCUUCCACAAUGGACGCAAGUCUGAUGGAGCAACGCCGCGUGAGUGAAGAAGGUUUUCGGAUCGUAAAGCUCUGUUGUUG